This is an RNA transcript of Sapajus apella (tufted capuchin), 2009 nucleotides long. It is a transcript of the gene named ribonucleotide reductase regulatory subunit M2, with no coding region annotated. The record is from RefSeq and is a predicted model, not a curated record. The transcript has 12 exons. NCBI's taxonomy places the organism in Eukaryota, Metazoa, Chordata, Mammalia, Primates, Cebidae.
GGUGUGCUGCCCGUGCGCCCCUUCCCAGCCGCCCGGCCCCGACUGCCAGCUCUCCUUCGUCGCGCCGCCACCAUGCUCUCCGUCCGCGUCCCGCUCGCGCCCAUCACGGACCCGCAGCAGCUGCAGCUCUCGCCGCUGAAGGGGCUCAGCCUGGUCGACAAGGAGAACACCCCCCCGGCCCUGAACGGCACCCGCGUCCUGGCCAGCAAGACCGCGAGGAGGAUCUUCCAGGAGCCCGCGGAGCCGCAGAAGACCAGAGCGGCCGCCCCCGGCGCGGAGGAUGAGCCGCUGCUGAGAGAGAACCCGCGCCGCUUUGUCGUUUUCCCCAUCGAGUACCACGAUAUCUGGCAGAUGUACAAGAAGGCGGAGGCCUCCUUCUGGACCGCCGAGGAGGUGGACCUGUCCAAGGACGCUCGGCACUGGGAAUCCCUGAAGCCCGAGGAGAGACACUUUAUAUCCCACGUUCUAGCUUUCUUUGCAGCCAGCGAUGGCAUAGUGAAUGAAAACCUGGUGGAGCGAUUUAGCCAAGAAGUUCAGAUUACAGAAGCCCGCUGUUUCUAUGGUUUCCAAAUUGCCAUGGAAAACAUACAUUCUGAAAUGUAUAGUCUCCUUAUUGACACUUACAUAAAAGAUCCCAACGAAAGGGAAUUUCUCUUCAAUGCCAUUGAAACGAUGCCUUGUGUCAAGAAGAAGGCAGAUUGGGCCUUGCGCUGGAUUGGGGACAAAGAGGCUACCUAUGGUGAACGUGUCGUAGCCUUUGCUGCAGUAGAAGGCAUCUUCUUUUCUGGUUCUUUUGCAUCCAUAUUCUGGCUCAAGAAACGAGGACUGAUGCCUGGCCUCACAUUUUCUAACGAACUUAUUAGCAGAGAUGAGGGUUUACACUGUGAUUUUGCUUGCCUAAUGUUCAAACACCUAGUACAUAAACCAUCAGAGGAGAGAGUAAAAGAAAUAAUUAUCAAUGCUGUUCGGAUAGAACAGGAGUUCCUCACUGAGGCCUUGCCUGUGAAGCUCAUUGGGAUGAAUUGCACUCUAAUGAAGCAAUACAUUGAGUUUGUGGCAGAUAGACUUAUGUUGGAACUGGGUUUUAGCAAGGUGCUGGGAGUCCAGGAAGUGCUGAGCAGAUGGAGUCCACGCCCUCGGGGAGACAGAGACCAUCACCCUCCCAGAGUGUGGUGAGUCAGAGGGUGACAAGCUCUGAAGACCAGGAAAGCAGGGAGGAAGGGGCGGGCGAUGCCCUGUUCUCUUUCAUGUGGGGAGACGAGAGGAAACCGCAGGAAGUGGGGACCAACCACAUGGUUAGGGGAGGAAAGCGUGUUUCAGGCAGAGAGUGGCCAAGAGCAAAGGCCCCGUAGCAGGCGCGUCUGUGAGUGGUCAGAGCGGAGUGAGGGCUGGGAGAUGCGCGGGUCAGAGGGGAGAGGGUGUGUACAUGGCAGGUCUGCAGACCCAGGUAAAGAGUCUGGAUUUCAUUUCUAAGGGGACGAGAGGCUCGGGAAGGUCUGAUCAGCCUUCCGUCUUGAAAGGGACACCCCUGCUUCUGCGUGUCAGGUGCGCCAGUGGAAGUGGGAGGCGGUUGCAGCUUCCAGGCUGUCUCUCGAGUGGCUGUGGAUGCUGACAGAAUGCAUGCCCGCCUUGCCGUCACUGUUCACGCACAGCGCCUGCUGAGGACUCUCCUGUAACCCAAAGGGGUGGUGGAAGGAUGGAGCUUCAGGCCUUGAGGGCCAGAAGACGAACACGGAAGACUGAAUCUUCAGGGGACCCCAGCUCUGGGCUGGCCCGGGGCUGUGUUCUGAGGACGGAAGUGGAAGGAGGUGGCAGCAGGAGCCGGGCCCAAGGCAUCUCCCACACUUCCGAGGUCGAAGGAAAAAAAGAGGAAAAGCUAUCAGCAAUACCGAGGAAACAGCAGGCUAAGGUUGGCAUAGUUCUCAGUAAGCAUCACGGCAAUUCUCUGCUCCCUCCCUCACCUCUUGCCUACUGUUAAUCCAAAAAUGUCCAACAAAUAAGACAAGACC